This 1422-nucleotide ribosomal RNA is filed under the name metagenome. RNAcentral's name for it is "bacterial LSU rRNA". It matches the Rfam family "Bacterial large subunit ribosomal RNA", at positions 1482 to 2893 of the family's 2925-position model. The record is from RNAcentral.
UUAACUCAGCCAACUGUUGGAUAUGUUGGUUCAAGCUUGUAGUCGUGCCUGGUAGGUAAAUCCGCCGGGCUCGGAUGAGGAGUGAUAACGAGGCUGCUUGCAGCCGAAGUGAGUGAUACCCUGCUUCCAGGAAAAGCCACUAAGCUUCAGCUACACACGACCGUACCGCAAACCGACACUGGUGCGCGAGAUGAGUAUUCUAAGGCGCUUGAGAGAACUCAGGGGAAGGAACUCGGCAAAUUGACACCGUAACUUCGGAAGAAGGUGUGCCUUUAGUAGGUGAAGGGAUUUACUCCUGGAGCCCAAUGAGGUUGCAAAAAAUCGGUGGCUGCGACUGUUUAUUAAAAACACAGCACUCUGCAAACACGAAAGUGGACGUAUAGGGUGUGACGCCUGCCCGGUGCUGGAAGAUUAAAUGAUGGGGUGCAAGCUCUUGAUUGAAGUCCCAGUAAACGGCGGCCGUAACUAUAACGUCCUAAGGUAGCGAAAUUCCUUGUCGGGUAAGUUCCGACCUGCACGAAUGGCGUAACGAUGGCCACACUGUCUCCUCCUGAGACUCAGCGAAGUUGAAAUGUUUGUGAUGAUGCAAUCUCCCCGCGGAAAGACGGAAAGACCCCAUGAACCUUUACUGUAGCUUUGUAUUGGACUUUGAACAGAUCUGUGUAGGAUAGGUGGGAGGCUUUGAAGUAGGGUCGCUAGAUCUUAUGGAGCCAACGUUGAAAUACCACCCUGGUGUGUUUGAGGUUCUAACCUAGGUCCAUUAUCUGGAUCGGGGACAGUGCAUGGUAGGCAGUUUGACUGGGGCGGUCUCCUCCCAAAGCGUAACGGAGGAGUUCGAAGGUACGCUAGUUACGGUCGGACAUCGUGACGAUAGUGCAAUGGCAUAAGCGUGCUUAACUGCGAGACUGACAAGUCGAGCAGAUGCGAAAGCAGGACAUAGUGAUCCGGUGGUUCUGUAUGGAAGGGCCAUCGCUCAACGGAUAAAAGGUACUCUGGGGAUAACAGGCUGAUACCGCCCAAGAGUUCAUAUCGACGGCGGUGUUUGGCACCUCGAUGUCGGCUCAUCUCAUCCUGGGGCUGUAGCCGGUCCCAAGGGCAUGGCUGUUCGCCAUUUAAAGAGGUACGUGAGCUGGGUUUAAAACGUCGUGAGACAGUUUUGUCCCUAUCUUCCGUGGGCGCUGCAGAUUUGAGGAAGCCUGCUCCUAGUACGAGAGGACCGGAGUGGACACACCUCUGGUGUAUCGGUUGUCACUCCAGUGGCAUUGCCGAGUAGCUAAGUGUGGAAGAGAUAACCGCUGAAAGCAUCUAAGCGGGAAACUCGUUUCAAGAUGAGAUCUGCCGGGGCCUUGAGCCCCCUAAAGAGUCGUUCAAGACCAGGACGUUGAUAGGUCAGGUGUGGAAGCGCAGUAAUGCGUUAAGCUA